CUCAGCAUGGGAAAGUUUUGUGUCCAUGUAUGGUGGGUGGCGGGGGCGCAGCCGGUAAUUCCAGAUGCCGAUCAUGAACAAGUAGAGGAAGACAGUGGGGAGGAUCAGCUCAGGGUAGCACACCAGGAUAAGGAACAGCACAUGGACUAGUAUAGUUGUCACUGGAUUCCUCCAAUUCCGAACACCGUCAAACCAUUUGGCGAUAGCAGCUGCACCAGAGAGG
Molecule: unclassified non-coding RNA, 223 nt
Filed under: Hevea brasiliensis (rubber tree)
Lineage: Eukaryota; Viridiplantae; Streptophyta; Magnoliopsida; Malpighiales; Euphorbiaceae
Source: RNAcentral